Molecule: ribosomal RNA, 216 nt
Filed under: Glomeromycotina sp.
Lineage: Eukaryota; Fungi; Glomeromycota
Description: partial small subunit ribosomal RNA
Rfam family: Eukaryotic small subunit ribosomal RNA (bases 87-216)
Source: RNAcentral
GGGUCAGUAGGUUGGUCGUGCCACCGGUACGUACUGGUCUCACUGAUUCCUCCUUCCUGAAGAACCGUAAUGCCAUUGAUAUGGCGUUGCGGGGAAACAGGACUGUUACUUUGAAAAAAUUAGAGUGUUUAAAGCAAGCUAACGCUUGAAUACAUUAGCAUGGAAUAAUGAAAUAGGACGAUCGAUCCUAUUUUGUUGGUUUCUAGGAUUGACGUA